GAUGAACGCUGGCGGCGUGCCUAAUACAUGCAAGUCGAGCGGACGGACGCGACGCUUGCUUCUCUGUUGUUAGCCGCGCACGGGUGAGUAACACGUGUAUAACCUACCUAUAAUACUGGUAUAACUUCGAGAAACCGGAGCUAAUACCGGAUGAUCUCUUGCACCGCAUGGUUCAAAAGUGAAAUACGGUCUUGCUGUCACUUCUAGAUGGAUCCGCGCUGCUUGAGCUAGUUGGUAAGUUAAUGGCUUACCACGGGAACGAGGCGUGGCCGACCUGAUAGGCGGAUCGCCCGCACUGGAGCGGGACCACGGUCAUGACUCCUACGGGAGGGCGCAGUAGGGAAUCUUCCGCAAUGGGCGAAAACCUGGCGGAACAACGCCGCGUGAGUGAUGAAGGUCUUCGGAUCGUAAAACUCUGUUAUUAGGGAAGAACAUAUGUGGAAGGAACUGUGCACAUCUUGACGGUAACUAAUCAGAAAGCCACGGCUAACUACGUG
RNAcentral lists this ribosomal RNA (497 nucleotides) under uncultured bacterium. RNAcentral describes it as "partial 16S ribosomal RNA". It matches the Rfam family "Bacterial small subunit ribosomal RNA", at positions 28 to 507 of the family's 1533-position model. The record is from RNAcentral.